CAGCUGUGAUGGAACUGACGCAAUUCACACCUGCAAAGAUCCAGCUGGGUGUAAUUGUCCCAUGUGCUUUAUAGGCAGGCUGUUCUACCCUCACUGCUGGCUGGGUGGGCAAGGAGGUGCUUGAAGAAGUGCUGGUUGGACUGAUGCACAGUUGGUCUUGCUCUUGCUCCUCACAAGGAAGAGCUGUAGCUGAUCUCUUGGUUUCCAGGUGAAAUGGAGAUGGUUUUUACGAGUUCCCUUUUCUAAAUACAGGAUAUGUUCACCAUGGAAAGAAAAGAACCCAGAAUACCACUGGUGUGCUUUCUGAUCCUGGACGAAUGAAGAUCUGAACCCACACUGCUUCUGGAUGUCAGACCUUCUGUUAGAGAGCAUUCUUCUCUUUAUUUUCUUCUCUAUCAUCCAGCGAAUGUUUUCUUAUUUGUUCAGAGCAGCUCUCAGAGAGGGGAACAGCCAUGAUUUGUAUUACUGUACUGGUGGUUGAGAGGCUCUGAUUUGGACUGCAUCAAGAACAAUAUUUGCAUGUCCAUGCCCAGCUAACUAGCCUGCUGUCCGCUCUUGGUAUGAAAUUUAUUGUAUGUUAAGAGCAGCAGAUUCUUCCCAGACAGAAGAAGGGUCCUAAUACUUUUCUGUGCCAGCAGCAUGUGUAGGAGUCAGGUGUUGGUGUGUCUUUAAGGAUCCAGCCUCAAGUCCAGGGAGAUCCUGGAGCUGAGAUGAGACCCAGGAUAGGCUGUAGCAAAGAAAACCAUCUCCUGGUGGUGUAACAUCUUUCUGGGUGCCAGUUUCUGGCAUGAUCCUGUGAUCUUUCUCCUUGAUUUCUUUUCCACAUCCUUGAUAACACACAGCAUCACAUCCACACAUCACUGUCUGCACAUCACCCAGGGCAGACAAAACAGAGCAGCUCCUGCCUGUAGUGUGACAAGGAAGCUUUGAUCACUCGGACAAAAUCAGGGUUAAAAUGGAGCCCAAAGCGCACCCUCCUCCAUUGUGCUGGGGUGCUGUUUCCACCGGAGCCAUGCCUACCUUGUAUUGACGUUGUUCCUUCAGCUGCUGGGUUUGAUCACUGUAUGCUGCCACUUGUCUGUUGAUAACAGGGCAUCCUGCAGCCAGCAGAUGUGAAGGGACAGUCACUGG
Meleagris gallopavo (turkey) is the source of this 1131-nucleotide non-coding RNA. Lineage: Eukaryota; Metazoa; Chordata; Aves; Galliformes; Phasianidae. The record is from RefSeq and is a predicted model, not a curated record.